GAUGAACGCUAGCGGCAGGCCUAAUACAUGCAAGUCGAACGGGAUUGAGAAGCUUGCUUUUCAUGAGAGUGGCGCACGGGUGCGUAACACGUAUGUAACCACCUUAAUCUGGGGGAUAGCCUCUCGAAAGAGAGAUUAACACCGCAUAACAUCACGAUAUAGCAUUUUAUUGUGAUCAAAUAUUUAUAGAAUUAAGAUGG
Molecule: ribosomal RNA, 200 nt
Filed under: uncultured bacterium
Lineage: Bacteria
Description: partial 16S ribosomal RNA
Rfam family: Bacterial small subunit ribosomal RNA
Source: RNAcentral